RNAcentral lists this signal recognition particle RNA (304 nucleotides) under Nestor notabilis (Kea). Its description in RNAcentral is "Metazoan signal recognition particle RNA". It matches the Rfam family "Metazoan signal recognition particle RNA". Rfam says of the family: The signal recognition particle (SRP) is a universally conserved ribonucleoprotein. It is involved in the co-translational targeting of proteins to membranes. The eukaryotic SRP consists of a 300-nucleotide 7S RNA and six proteins: SRPs 72, 68, 54, 19, 14, and 9. Lineage: Eukaryota; Metazoa; Chordata; Aves; Psittaciformes; Psittacidae. The record is from Rfam by way of RNAcentral.
GCUUCUGAGAAGUGGUGGUGCAUGCCUGUAGUCCCAGCUGCUUGGGAGGCUGAGCCCACUGAGUCGCUUGAGCCCAGGAGUUCUGGGCUGCAAUGUGCUAUGCUGAGGAGGUGUCCGUGCUAAGGCUGGCAUCACUGUCGUGAGCCCCGGGGAGCUGGGGCACACCAGGUUGACUAAGGAGGGGUGAACCAGCCCAGGUUGGAGAUGGAGCAGGUCAAAGCUCCUGUGCCGGUCAGUAGUGGGAUUGUGCCUGUGAAUAGCCACUGCAGCAUAGCCUGGGCAACACAGAGAGACACAGGUUCCU